Molecule: ribosomal RNA, 409 nt
Filed under: bacterium
Lineage: Bacteria
Description: partial 16S ribosomal RNA
Rfam family: Bacterial small subunit ribosomal RNA
Source: RNAcentral
UGGGGAAUAUUGCACAAUGGGCGAAAGCCUGAUGCAGCGACGCCGCGUGGGGGAUGACGGUCUUCGGAUUGUAAACUCCUUUCAGUAGGGACGAAGCGAAAGUGACGGUACCUACAGAAGAAGCACCGGCCAACUACGUGCCAGCAGCCGCGGUAAUACGUAGGGUGCAAGCGUUGUCCGGAAUUACUGGGCGUAAAGAGCUCGUAGGCGGUUUGUCACGUCGUCUGUGAAAUCCUCCAGCUCAACUGGGGGCGUGCAGGCGAUACGGGCAGACUUGAGUACUACAGGGGAGACUGGAAUUCCUGGUGUAGCGGUGAAAUGCGCAGAUAUCAGGAGGAACACCGGUGGCGAAGGCGGGUCUCUGGGUAGUAACUGACGCUGAGGAGCGAAAGCAUGGGGAGCAAACAGG